RNAcentral lists this ribosomal RNA (497 nucleotides) under uncultured bacterium. RNAcentral's name for it is "partial 16S ribosomal RNA". It matches the Rfam family "Bacterial small subunit ribosomal RNA", at positions 28 to 507 of the family's 1533-position model. The record is from RNAcentral.
GAUGAACGCUGGCGGCGUGCCUAAUACAUGCAAGUCGAGCGAACAGAUGAGGAGCUUGCUCCUCUGACGUUAGCGGCGGACGGGCGAGUAACACGUGGAUAACCUACCUAUAAGACUGGGAUAACUUCGGGAAACCGGAGCUAAUACCGGAUAAUAUAUUGAACCGCAUGGUUCAAUAGUGAAAGACGGUUUUGCUGUCACUUAUAGAUGGAUCCGCGCCGCAUUAGCUAGUUGGUAAGGUAACGGCUUACCAAGGCAACGAUGCGUAGCCGACCUGAGAGGGUGUUCGGCCACACUGGAACUGGGACACGGUCCAGACUCCUACGGGAGGCAGAAGUAGGGAAUCUUCCGCAAUGGGCGAAGGCCUGACGGAGCAACGCCGCGUGAGUGAUGAAGGUCUUCGGAUCGUAAGACUCUGUUAUUAGGGAGGAACAAAUGUGUAAGUAACUAUGCACGUCUUGACGGUACCUAAUCAGAAAGCCACGGCUAACUACGUG